UCACCUUAUUAUCUAACAAAAGCUUCUAAUGAAUAAGCAUGUUUUGGGAUGCAGUGGAGAUGAAGAAUAAGACAUUUCAGAAAAGGAUGCUACUAUGGAAGGGUCUGAGUCUUAGAAUCCUGAGUCCUACUGCAACCAUGUGUGGAAAUGCUGCAAAUCCACUAAGGAGAAGAGAGGAAAGACUGAAAGAACCUGGAUCAUUGUAACCUCACUGAGCUGCUCCAAACGGUCCUGACUAGGUUCAGGAUCUUCUCCAGGUUUGAGGAAUCUAUGGAUGAGAGAGUCCUUCAGAUAACAAUCCGUCCACAGCAUUUGCUGAUACAUCCGUGCCUCUGUUGUGAUACAUCACGAUACUCA
Long non-coding RNA from Fukomys damarensis (Damara mole-rat), 357 nucleotides. RefSeq lists it as uncharacterized. NCBI's taxonomy places the organism in Eukaryota, Metazoa, Chordata, Mammalia, Rodentia, Bathyergidae. The transcript is spliced from 3 exons. The record is from RefSeq and is a predicted model, not a curated record.